Molecule: ribosomal RNA, 436 nt
Filed under: Acinetobacter sp. oral taxon C51
Lineage: Bacteria; Pseudomonadati; Pseudomonadota; Gammaproteobacteria; Moraxellales; Moraxellaceae
Description: bacterial SSU rRNA
Rfam family: Bacterial small subunit ribosomal RNA
Source: RNAcentral
AUUGAACGCUGGCGGCAGGCUUAACACAUGCAAGUCGAGCGGAGCGAGGGUGCUUGCACCUUAGCUUAGCGGCGGACGGGUGAGUAAUGCUUAGGAAUCUGCCUAUUAGUGGGGGACAACAUUCCGAAAGGGAUGCUAAUACCGCAUACGCCCUACGGGGGAAAGCAGGGGAUCUUCGGACCUUGCGCUAAUAGAUGAGCCUAAGUCGGAUUAGCUAGUUGGUGGGGUAAAGGCCUACCAAGGCGACGAUCUGUAGCGGGUCUGAGAGGAUGAUCCGCCACACUGGGACUGAGACACGGCCCAGACUCCUACGGGAGGCAGCAGUGGGGAAUAUUGGACAAUGGGGGGAACCCUGAUCCAGCCAUGCCGCGUGUGUGAAGAAGGGCCUUUUGGUUGUAAAGCACUUUAAGCGAGGAGGAGGCGCUCUAGGAUAAUA